UGGAGUCUGCAACCCGACUCCAUGAAGCUGGAUUCGCUAGUAAUCGCGCAUCAGCCACGGCGCGGUGAAUACGUUCCCGGGGCCUUGUACACACCGCCCGUCAAGCCAUGGAAGCCGGGGGUGCCUGAAGUGCGCUGCCGCGAGGAGCGCCCUAGGGUAAAACCGGUGACUGGGGCUAAGUCGUAACAAGGUACC
Molecule: ribosomal RNA, 195 nt
Filed under: uncultured bacterium
Lineage: Bacteria
Description: partial 16S ribosomal RNA
Rfam family: Bacterial small subunit ribosomal RNA
Source: RNAcentral